CCUCCAACCCCCAUGACCACUUCAGGUCAGCAAUCUGGAGCAGGCUAUGGAUGCUCAUCAUUGGGGCCUGCUUUUCAGCAUCCUGAAAACUUCUACAGAUUAAUACUGCAGCAUCUGAGGGAGUUGGCCGAAGAAUUGAGGGAUGUGAAACAGCAGGUUUCUUUAAACACAGCAAUAUUACAGAGCCUGACAGCUGGAACCAACGUGGACAUGUCCAUCCCACCAGACGUCAUCCUUCCUCUGGAGGAUAGAAGUAUGCUGGAGGACAUUGAGAGAGAGCUUGGACAAAAUCUGGAAUUAACAGAGAAAUUGAUUGCAUACUUAGCCUCAAGAGGACAGAAGGGUCGGGACAGAAGGUGUCCUUCAACAACCUCCACCUGAAGAGAGUCAGCCACAGAGCGGUAAGGAAAAAUCCUGCAACAAGGGAGACAACCGAAGAGGCUCUCCA
Long non-coding RNA from Esox lucius (northern pike), 448 nucleotides. RefSeq lists it as uncharacterized. The record is from RefSeq and is a predicted model, not a curated record. The transcript is spliced from 5 exons. Lineage: Eukaryota; Metazoa; Chordata; Actinopteri; Esociformes; Esocidae.